RNAcentral lists this ribosomal RNA (465 nucleotides) under uncultured bacterium. Its description in RNAcentral is "partial 16S ribosomal RNA". It matches the Rfam family "Bacterial small subunit ribosomal RNA", at positions 338 to 795 of the family's 1533-position model. The record is from RNAcentral.
CCUACGGGUGGCAGCAGUGGGGAAUUUUGCGCAAUGCUCGUAAGAGUGACGCAGCGACGCCGCGUGAAUGACGAAGGCCUUCGGUACGUAAAGUUCUUUCAACAGGGAAGAAAAUGCAUAUAAGUAACUGAGUAUGUCUUGACGGUACCUGUAUAGGCACCGCCGGCUAACUACGUGCCAGCAGCCUCGGUAAUACGGAGGGGGCGAGCGUUGUUCGGAGUGAGUGGGCGUAAAGAGAACGUAGGCGGUGUUGUAAGUCAUUAGUCAAAGACUAGAGCUCAACUUUAGUAAGGCUAGUGAUACUAUAAUACUAGAGUAUAAGAGAGGAUUGCAGAAUUCCUGGUGUAGCGGUGAAAUGCGUAGAUAUCAGGAGGAAUACCGUUAGCGAAGGCGGCAAUCUGGCUGGAAACUGACGCUGAGGUGCGAAAGCGUGGGUAGCAAACAGGAUUAGAUACCCUGGUAGUC